RNAcentral lists this ribosomal RNA (253 nucleotides) under uncultured bacterium. Its description in RNAcentral is "partial 16S ribosomal RNA". It matches the Rfam family "Bacterial small subunit ribosomal RNA", at positions 524 to 776 of the family's 1533-position model. The record is from RNAcentral.
UACGAGGGGGGCAAGCGUUGUUCGGAAUUAUUGGGCGUAAAGGGCGCGUAGGCGGUGCGGUAAGUCACCUGUGAAAACUCUGGGCUCAACUCAGAGCCUGCAGGCGAAACUGCCGUGCUUGAGUGUGGGAGAGGUGCGUGGAAUUCCCGGUGUAGCGGUGAAAUGCGUAGAUAUCUGGAGGAACACCGGUGGCGAAGGCGGCAUCCUGGACCAUGACUGACGCUGAGGAGCGAAAGCCAGGGGAGCAAACGGG